AAUCUUAGACAAUGGGCGCAAGCCUGAUCUAGCCAUGCCGCGUGAGUGAUGAAGGCCUUAGGGUCGUAAAGCUCUUUCGCCAGGGGAUGAUAAUGACAGUACCUGGUAAAGAAACCCCGGCUAACUCCGUGCCAGCAGCCGCGGUAAUACGGAGGGGUUAGCGUUGUUCGGAAUUACUGGGCGUAAAGCGCGCGUAGGCGGAUUAGUCAGUUAGAGGUGAAAUCCCAGGGCUCAACCCUGGAACUGCCUUUAAUACUGCUAGUCUUGAGUUCGAGAGAGGUGAGUGGAAUUCCGAGUGUAGAGGUGAAAUUCGUAGAUAUUCGGAGGAACACCAGUGGCGAAGGCGGCUCACUGGCUCGAUACUGACGCUGAGGUGCGAAAGUGUGGGGAGCAAACAGGAUUAGAUACCCUGGUAG
This 416-nucleotide ribosomal RNA is filed under the name uncultured bacterium. RNAcentral's name for it is "bacterial SSU rRNA". It matches the Rfam family "Bacterial small subunit ribosomal RNA", at positions 360 to 793 of the family's 1533-position model. The record is from RNAcentral.